UCCGGUUUAACACCGGCAGUCUCCUUAGAGUCCCCAACCAAAGGCUGGUAACUAAGGACAAGGGUUGCGCUCGUUAUCGGACUUAACCGGACAUCUUACGACACGAGCUGACGACAGCCAUGCAGCACCUGUCACCGAGUCCCCGAAGGGAAGGCCACAUCUCUGUGGUUGUCUCGGGAUGUCAAGGGUAGGUAAGGUUCUGCGCGUUGCUUCGAAUUAAACCACAUACUCCACCGCUUGUGCGGGCCCCCGUCAAUUCCUUUGAGUUUUAGCCUUGCGACCGUACUCCCCAGGCGGGAUACUUAAUGCGUUAGCUUUAGUACUCAGGAGGUUAACUUCCCGAACACCUAGUAUCCAUAGUUUACGGCGUGGACUAC
Molecule: unclassified non-coding RNA, 377 nt
Filed under: uncultured Oligoflexaceae bacterium
Lineage: Bacteria; Pseudomonadati; Bdellovibrionota; Oligoflexia; Oligoflexales; Oligoflexaceae
Description: contains 16S-23S intergenic spacer region
Source: RNAcentral